Molecule: small RNA, 680 nt
Filed under: Pan troglodytes (chimpanzee)
Lineage: Eukaryota; Metazoa; Chordata; Mammalia; Primates; Hominidae
Description: processed transcript
Source: RNAcentral
CCGCGCCACCCCACCCCCGCGGCUCCUUUUUCUGCCUUUUCCUUUGUACCCUCACUGCUACCAGCUCCUUCUGGCGACCCCCAGGUACCCCCUCCCACCUUUCGUUUCUCUCUGGGUCAGCAGACCACGCAUGUAUCCAGAGGCGCUACCUGUAGGGAUCCUAAGCAACCCGGGCACUUUCAAACGCCGUAGCGGUUCCUAUAGCAACGACAAACCGGAAGUAUGGUUUGCCGCCGGAAGCGGAAGUCCCAAUCAAAAGUUGAGCAGUAGCUGUGUGGGACGUGCGUGCGGCGAGAUGGACACUCCCCCGCUCUCGGAUUCGGAGUCGGAAUCCGAUGAAUCCCUUGUCACAGACAGAGAGUUGCAGGAUGCGUUUUCCCGAGGGCUUCUGAAGCCAGGCCUCAAUGUCGUGCUAGAGGGGCCGAAGAAGGCCGUGAACGACGUGAAUGGCCUGAAGCAAUGUUUGGCAGAAUUCAAGCGGGAUCUGGAAUGGGUUGAAAGGCUCGAUGUGACACUGGGUCCGGUACCGGAGAUCGGUGGAUCUGAGGCGCCAGCACCUCAGAACAAGGACCAGAAAGCUGUUGAUCCAGAAGACGACUUCCAGCGAGAGAUGAGUUUCUAUCGCCAAGCCCAGGCCGCAGUGCUUGCAGUCUUACCCCGCCUCCAUCAGCUCAAAGUCC